This 263-nucleotide ribosomal RNA is filed under the name uncultured bacterium. RNAcentral's name for it is "partial 16S ribosomal RNA". It matches the Rfam family "Bacterial small subunit ribosomal RNA", at positions 793 to 1055 of the family's 1533-position model. The record is from RNAcentral.
GUCCACACCGUAAACGAUGAAUGCUAGGUGUGGGUGCAAACCUCCGUGCCGGAGUUAACACAAUAAGCAUUCCACCUGGGAGUACGGCCGCAAGGUUGAAACUCAAAGGAAUUGACGGGAGCCCGCACAAGCAGUGGAGUAUGUGGUUUAAUUCGACGCAACGCGAAGAACCUUACCAGGAUUUGACAUCCCCUGACUACGGCGUAAUGGCCCGGUCUCGGGACUUCGGUUCGACAGGGAGACAGGUGGUGCAUGGUUGUCGU